This 443-nucleotide ribosomal RNA is filed under the name uncultured bacterium. RNAcentral describes it as "bacterial SSU rRNA". It matches the Rfam family "Bacterial small subunit ribosomal RNA", at positions 355 to 787 of the family's 1533-position model. The record is from RNAcentral.
UAGGGAAUCUUCCACAAUGGGCGAAAGCCUGAUGGAGCAACGCCGCGUGGGUGAAGAAGGUCUUCGGAUCGUAAAACCCUGUUGUUAGAGAAGAAAGUGCGUGAGGGUAACUGUUCACGUUUCGACGGUAUCUAACCAGAAAGCCACGGCUAACUACGUGCCAGCAGCCGCGGUAAUACGUAGGUGGCAAGCGUUAUCCGGAUUUAUUGGGCGUAAAGGGAACGCAGGCGGUCUUUUAAGUCUGAUGUGAAAGCCUUCGGCUUAACCGGAGUAGUGCAUUGGAAACUGGUUGACUUGAGUGCAGAAGAGGGAAGUGGAAUUCCAUGUGUAGCGGUGAAAUGCGUAGAGAUAUGGAGGAACACCAGUGGCGAAGGCGGCUUCCUGGUCUGCAAACUGACACUGAGGCGCGAAAAGCGUGGGGGAGCAAACAGGAUUAGAUACCC